This is an RNA transcript of Phyllostomus discolor (pale spear-nosed bat), 4362 nucleotides long. It is a transcript of the gene named CD82 molecule, with no coding region annotated. The transcript is spliced from 9 exons. Lineage: Eukaryota; Metazoa; Chordata; Mammalia; Chiroptera; Phyllostomidae. The record is from RefSeq and is a predicted model, not a curated record.
UUGGACGCUGGCUGGGGCUCGAGAGGGCGACGCCAGUCUUGCAGCGCCGAGCAAAAACCAGAACGAGCAGAGCAUCUCCUAGGACUCCUAUUCUGAGGAACCGCUCCAGAACAGGCUGCUUGGGUCCUGCUGUUUGACAGGGAGCUCCAGGGCCGGCAGGAUGGGGUCAGCCUGCAUCAAAAUCACCAAGUACUUUCUCUUCCUCUUCAGCUUGCUCUUCCUGAUCCUGGGCGGCGUGAUCCUGGGCUUCGGGGUGUGGAUCCUGGCCGACAAGAGCAGUUUCAUCUUUGUCCUGCAGUCCUCCUCCAGCGUGUUCAACGUGGGGGCCUAUGUCUUCAUCAGCGUGGGGGCCGUCACCAUGUUCAUGGGCCUCCUGGGCUGCGUCGGCGCCGUGAAGGAGGUCCGCUGCCUGCUGGGGCUGUACUUUGUCUUCCUCCUGCUGGUCCUCAUCGCCCAGGUGACUGCUGGUGUCCUCUUCUAUUUCAACAUGGGCAAGGUGAAGCAGGAGAUGGGCAGCAUCGUGAUCAAGCUCAUCCGGGACUACAAGGACGGCGAGAAGGACAGGCUGCAGCAGGGCUGGGACUACGUGCAGGCUCAGGUAGGGCUGGGGGCAGGGCAGCGUGAGGUCCGGGCCUGUUUGUGUCUGUGCGUCGGGGUCUGGGGUCCACGUGCCCAGCAGGGUGUGUUAGCGAGCUUGUGUGUGAGUGUGCAUCUGAGGGGCACGGGGGGCACUGAGGUGCCCUCUCAUCCUGACACCUCAGCCCCCACCACAACUGCUUCUCAGGGGCCCCAGAGCUUCGAAGCUGUGCCCUGGCUUUCAGGGCUUCCUGCAAUGGCAGGGGGCUGGCGCGGGGGGGGGGGGGUGUUGCUGCUCUCAGCCCUCCCAUCUCAAGCCAGGUGGGCGAGUGUUGGCAGCUCUGCCCUGGAGGUUAAGAAACUGGGUGCCGGGUGUGAGUGGAGACUACCUCUAGGGAGGAGCCCGUGGAAACCUCCAGGGGUAGGGGGGUAGGAACGUUCUAUUCAAACCCUGUCCAGGCGCUGGUCCUGCCAGGAUGGAGGUACAGCCUCAGCACGCCGGGUUUGUGUGCUCUAGCGUGUGCGUGCUCCACCUCAGCUAGAGUGGGGGAGCUGGAGACCACCGACUGGCCAACAGUGGACGGCCAACUGACAGACAGACGGGCGUACUGACGGAAUGACCGGGAGGAUGAACGACUGGCAGGCUAACUGAGUGACUGACUGGCUGAGUGGAUAAAUGGCCAUCCGCGGGGUUCCCAGCCUGCCUUGGUGGUGGCCCAGCCGCCACACACACAGAUCGGCAUCACUGAUCCGGUCCUGGCUGCCCCCUCGUUCAUGGCCCCAGGUGCUGUGUGUCCUAGGCCAGGCCCCGCCUCCUCUGGGCUGCAGCCUCCUCCAAUGGGGACACUGGGUACAAGUCAGGACCUGCUGGCCCUGGCUGGCCGCAGGAGAGUUUGGAGACUGAAGGGGGACUUUGUCCAGGAGGCACUGGCACACUGGUUUUCUGGGCUGUGGGAAGGGGAAGGGGAUGUUUUCUGGCUGACGAGCCUCGCAGAUUUUCCGUGAGGACCAGGUGAGGCCAGGCAGGAGGGCCUGAGCCGGCCAGAGGCUUGGCGCACCCAGGAAGGCCCUCUCAUCACACCUUUAGCUUGACGCACAAUUGCUGAGACACUUUGCUAACAUUCGAGGGAGUCGAGGUGCCCCAGAAUGAGCAAGUGCCACCUCUCAAGGAGCCCUGGGGAAAAGCGGGUCCCUGGGGAGAUGAGCGUCCCACCACGGGAGGUGGUUGGCUGCUGGGGGGGGGGGGGGUCCUGCAGCCGGCAAGUCCUCUAGAUGAUUCUGAUGUCUGUCGGAUGCUGCUUGGGGUGGUGGUUAAGAAAGCAGACUGUAGCCCUGGCUGGUGUGGCUCUGCCAUGCCAAUCUUUCUGCCAGAGAGGAGGCAGCCAGGCAACUGCUACAUAAAAAACACAACCUGGAGCCUGAGAACGCUGAGCAUGCUUGGCACGCCCCCUGCUGGCCACUGGGCUGCUUGUCCGAGGCUCCUCGAGGAGAUGGAUAGGAAGCAGGUGGGAAACUCACCACGCGCUGGGCGCACUGGCCCGCAGCUUUCCCUUGCAGCUCAUUUGAUCCUCCCAGGGAUCCUGACGUCCUGGGUAUUGCCAUCCCAUUCUCUAGAUGAGCAAACGAGCUCAAAAAGGGCAGCGGCUUGCCCACGCAUGGGGCAGGGCCAGGGUUUGAAAGGAGCCUUGCCCCCACUCUGCUCUGCUUAGUCGGGCCGUUCCCAGCCCAGGCCCAGCCCCGAGAUCCCAAUCCUGUCGGGAACUCCAGCCCAGAUGUGAUCCGAAGCCUCUUGGGGUCCCCUUCUUGAGCCCCAUGGAGGCCCCUUGUAGCACACGGAGCCCAGAAAGUCUUUCGUCCCCUCUAGAAUGAGAGCAUUUCCUCCCCUACAAAGGCGGAAUGGACUAUGUCCCCCUUUUCACUUGGGCAGCCAGGAAGCUCAGAGGCAAACCACAGUGGCAGCACACUCUUAGCCCCUGAAAGUGGACCCAGCCUUUCCCGAGCAAUUACUGCACUCUCCAGACAUGCGCUGGGCGCUCCACCUGCCUCAGCCAUUUGGUCCCUGUAACAGCCCUUGGAAGAUAGAAAUCUUGUUACCCCAUUUUGCAGAUAAGGAAACUGAGGUCAGUACUUUGACCAAAGCUGAGCAGCUGGUAGGGGGCAGAGCUGGGAUUUGAACCCAGUAUCCUGACUCCAGACCCCACGCUCUUAACCAGAGGUUAUCUGCCCUCCUAUUUGUCCCCACACCUGUGUUCUGCCUUUCAACUUGAACUUUUCUCCUGUUCUGCUUUAUGUUUUUGCUGGUCCUGAUGUUUCCUUCCGACUGUUUAGUAGUUUGUGGUAUGUAUUUCCUGAAAGCCCCUUUAAGCCCUUUGUGGCUCACGGAAGCCGCAGUGAGACCUAAACUCGGAUCCCGGCGGUGUGGCCGGGACCAGGGAGGCCUGCAAGUGGCAGCUCUGAGCCUCUUUCCGGGGAGGCCCCGCCUCUGCCAGGAGGGGCAGCCUGCCUGCGUGGGCACGGGGCCUGAGCAGCCUGUCCCCUCUUGGUCCAGGGCAAGUGCUGUGGCUGGGCCAGCCCCUACAACUGGACGGAAAACGCUGAGCUCAUGAACCGCACCACCGUCACCUACCCCUGCUCCUGCGAGGUCAAGGACGACAACAACAACAGCAGCAGCUACCUCACGAGUAACGGCUUCUGCGAGCAUCCCAGCAGCAACAUGACCCAGAGUGGCAACAAUCCCGACUACUGGCCUGUGUAUCAGGAUGGCUGCAUGCAGAAGGUGCAGGAGUGGCUGCAGGACAACCUGGGCAUCAUCCUGGGCGUGUGUGUGGGCAUCGCUUUCAUUGAGCUCCUGGGGAUGCUCCUGUCCAUCUGCUUGUGCCGGCACAUCCAUUCCGAAGACUACAGCAAGGUCCCCAAGUACUGAGGCAGCUGCUGUCCCCACCUCCCUGCCCGUCCCCCCACCUCAGGGCUCUCCCUGGGGGAGCUUGGCGUCUCCCUGGCUCCCUCCCCCAGGCCUGCCUUCCAACUCACUGCCAAGGCCCCUUGCCCAUUCUAUGCUCUGUGCUGGCUGGAAAUGAGGGGCCUUCUGGGGCCUGGGCCCCACUCCCUGCCUUUCCGCCUCUGGCCUUGAGCCCGGCUGUUCUGUGGCUCCUCCGCUCACUGCCCACCGGGGUUCUCCGAGCAGCUCGGAGAAAACACCCCCGCAGCAUCUCUGCACAGGUGGGCUGGGUCUCUACCUGCCUCUGGGGAUGUAUAUAUUGUAUGGGGGAAAGUGUAUUAAAAAUUGGGGGGGGAUGUAGAUAAGGUACUCUGGGCUGUCAGGGGACUGCCCACUGCGUGGGUCAACUUUUUCUCCACUACGAUGCUUAGACCUUUGGCUUUCACAUUUUCAUGAAAGGCUGUGGGAGAGGGUGGGCUUCGCCUGAUGUUAGGGGCGGCACCUUCCCCAGGCCUGGCCCCGCCCCGCCCAGGCAGCUCAGAUCCGCCUGGGCCAUGUCCUGGGAGCAAGACCCGGAUGAGCUCGGCCCAGCAGGGCCUGGCCCGGCCCUGGGCUGCUUAGGGAAUCAGGGGUGCGUCCUCGGGGUAUGGCGCAGAGCUGACCCUGCGUCCUCCGGCCCCUGAGCCGUCCAGGGAAGCGGGAAGGAUGCUUUCCCUCGUCCUCUGCCUCCCGGGAAGUGGGUGGGUGAGGCUGCGCUUUGUAGGGGAGUGGGAAGGGGCUCCACGCACAGUUCUGUAAAGCAUACUCAAGAUAUGAAGACUGACUAUUAAAGAUGAUUUGUAACAACC